This 484-nucleotide ribosomal RNA is filed under the name uncultured bacterium. Its description in RNAcentral is "partial 16S ribosomal RNA". It matches the Rfam family "Bacterial small subunit ribosomal RNA", at positions 30 to 507 of the family's 1533-position model. The record is from RNAcentral.
AUUGAACGCUGGCGGCAGGCCUAACACACGCAAGUCGAGCGGAUGAAGGGAGCUUGCUCCUGGAUUCAGCGGCGGACGGGUGAGUAAUGCCUAGGAAUCUGCCUGGUAGUGGGGGAUAACGUCCGGAAACGGGCGCUAAUACCGCAUACGUCCUGAGGGAGAAAGUGGGGGAUCUUCGAACCUCACGCUAUCAGAUGAGCCUAGGUCGGAUUAGCUAGUUGGUGGGGUAAAGGCCUACCAAGGCGACGAUCCGUAACUGGUCUGAGAGGAUGAUCAGUCACACUGGAACUGAGACACGGUCCAGACUCCUACGGGAGGCAGCAGUGGGGAAUAUUGGACAAUGGGCGAAAGCCUGAUCCAGCCAUGCCGCGUGUGUGAAGAAGGUCUUCGGAUUGUAAAGCACUUUAAGUUGGGAGGAAGGGCAGUAAGUUAAUACCUUGCUGUUUUGACGUUACCAACAGAAUAAGCACCGGCUAACUUCGUG